RNAcentral lists this ribosomal RNA (468 nucleotides) under uncultured bacterium. RNAcentral's name for it is "partial 16S ribosomal RNA". It matches the Rfam family "Bacterial small subunit ribosomal RNA", at positions 28 to 507 of the family's 1533-position model. The record is from RNAcentral.
GACGAACGCUGGCGGCGUGCUUAACACAUGCAAGUCGAACGGAAAGGCCCUGCUUUUGUGGGGUGAUCGGGUGGCGAACGGGUGAGUAACACGUGAGUAACCUGCCCUUGACUUUGGGAUAACUUCAGGAAACUGGGGCUAAUACCGGAUAGGAGCUCCUGCUGCAUGGUGGGGGUUGGAAAGUUUCGGCGGUUGGGGUUGGACGCGCGGCUUAUCAGCUUGUUGGUGGGGUAGUGGCUUACCAAGGCUUUGACGGGUAGCCAGCCGGUGAGGGUGACCGGCCACAUUGGUCCUGAGGUACGGCCCAGACUCCUACGGGAGGCAGCAGUGGGGAAUAUUGCACAAUGGGCGGAAGCCUGAUGCAGCAACGCCGCGUGCGGGAUGACGGCCUUCGGGUUGUAAACCGCUUUCGCCUGUUACGAAGCGUUAGUGACGGUAAUGGGUAAAGAAGCACCGGCUAACUACGUG